This 253-nucleotide ribosomal RNA is filed under the name uncultured bacterium. Its description in RNAcentral is "partial 16S ribosomal RNA". It matches the Rfam family "Bacterial small subunit ribosomal RNA", at positions 524 to 776 of the family's 1533-position model. The record is from RNAcentral.
UACAGAGGAGCCAAGCGUUGUCCGGAUUGACUGGGCGUAAAGCGCACGCAGGCGGUUGCGCGCGUGGGGUGUGAAAUCUGGCCGCUUAACGGCCAGGCGCCAUCCCAUACGGCGCGACUGGAGUGAUGCAGAGGUCGAUGGAAUUGCCGGUGUAGUGGUGAAAUGCGUAGAUAUCAGGAGGAACACCUGUGGCGAAAGCGGCUCACUGGACCAUAACUGACGCUGAUGCACGAAAGCUAGGGGAGCAAACAGG